GGUGGUAUGGCGGAAUUGGUAGACGCUAAUUGAGUGUGGUUAAUCGUAGAGUGAAAUUCUCUGCUAAGUGUUAGAUAGGUUGAAAAUAAAACCUGACAAUCCACAUCAAUCCUAUCGUGCAGGUUCAAAUCCCGCUGCCACCA
This 143-nucleotide transfer RNA is filed under the name Caudoviricetes sp. RNAcentral's name for it is "tRNA-His". The record is from RNAcentral. Lineage: Duplodnaviria; Heunggongvirae; Uroviricota; Caudoviricetes.